This is a long non-coding RNA of Chroicocephalus ridibundus (black-headed gull), 2280 nucleotides long. RefSeq lists it as uncharacterized. NCBI's taxonomy places the organism in Eukaryota, Metazoa, Chordata, Aves, Charadriiformes, Laridae. The record is from RefSeq and is a predicted model, not a curated record. The transcript is spliced from 3 exons.
GCCCGCCCACAGGCCGCCAUGGCGGAGCGGGGGCGGCGGGACCUGAUGGACGGUGCCCGGGCAGCCCAAUGGGGAGCUUCAUUAUGUGUGUGAGUGUUGCCCGUCUGUCUCCUUGUCCCAGACCUAGCAGCCCGCAAGACUGUGUGGUGACUAAAGAACGUGAGAAAGCAUAAUACCACAAGAGCAAAGACUGAAAGGAAAAAAGAUUUCUGAUUGCUUUUUUUUUUUAACGACUAUAAUUCAAAUAAGUUGAAGAUAGAAUGAUUUGCAUUACACAUUCAAUACUUUCGAUUCAACUUGAGGUGGCUGCUGUCAAUACAUAUCUGUUGAAACCCCAAAGAUAUUCCAAGAAAAUCAAUAAAAAUCCAAUUUUACAAUCCUGAUAUUUUCAGAGUGUUUAAAAAAUUGGCAAAAAACUACCCUUUUUUAUACAUUACAGAAAAGCCAGUAAGGUGCAUUAUUGAUUUUUCACAAAUUGUUUUUAAGUGACUGUUAAGGCUGGAUGAGAACAAGAAGCUAGUGUACUAACACAAGUUUUGCACGCGUUUGACACACCACGUAUAUGGUAUGGUGUAUGGUAUGGUUCUUUAAAGUGGGUAUUUAAAAAUCCAAGUGUAAUUGUAGAAAUCAUGUAAUUACUUUUUUUUGUAUCAGAUUCCCUGUGUAGAAUGAAGUAGUGCAUGCAUUCAAGUAUAUGUUCUAAGGGUACUUCAACUUUGACCGCUGUCAGAGAAAAGGCCGUUACAAUAUUUCUGCUACAAACGUGCCAUCAAUGUUGUCUGUGCAAGCAGAGAAGGUACAAUGCAAAUUAAAAUAAGAGAAAGGAAGGAAGAAAAGGAAGGAAGAAAAGGAAGGAAGAAAAGGAAGGAAGAAAAGGAAGGAAGAAAAGGAAGGAAGAAAAGGAAGGAAGAAAAGGAAGGAAGAAAAGGAAGGAAGAAAAGGAAGGAAGACGGGGGGAAAAAAAAAAAAGUCUGGUCAGAGUUUUUAGCCAGGAUGUCAUGGUCUGGUGGAUUGAGACAGAAAAUUAAUAAAGGAAAAAAGAGAGCCAAAAGGAAAAACCAAAGCCUAGACUGAGGUAGCAAAAAUGAAGUGAAUUUUAAAACAUGCAUAUAUAGUGGAGGAAUGCUAUAAUCUUGUUAUUGUAACCUUGAUCCACUCUUUCUCUUCUUCCAGCAUUUAUCGCUCUCAUUAGUUAUGUAGUGUCUAAAAGCAGAUUGUAAAUUUCUUGUGUCAGGACAGUGUCAUUAAUGUAUUCUGAACAUGCCUAGUAUAACUUUAGAUGUUGUAUACAAAAAUAAUAUCAUCUUUUGGGGUUUUCUGUAUUAUUUCUAAGCAUAGGAAAAAUUAAGAUGCAGCAAGCCUGGAAAGGUCAAACUGUGUCUCCCCUCAUUCUGUGCAUGACUUCAGAAAUAAUCAAAAAGUUAUGCUGAGAUAACUGAUAUGAAACCUGAGACACCGUGAUCACAAAACUUGGAUCAAUUUGUGCCCAUGCGGGCGAAGCAUCAUCUCAUUUCACUCCUGAAAAUAUUUUUUUUAAUUUUACAUUUUAUGGAUAUUUUGAACUGUUUGUUCCUAACAAUUGUCCUCACGGAUGUGCAUCAAUAUUGUGUAAUUACACAGAGAAACUGUCAGCCUGCAGGAACCCAGUCGGUAAAUUACAACUGUACUGAGAGCGGAAGGGGAGCAAGUUGUGACUCCAGGAUUUUGAGCGCUACCUUCCUUUUCUGCUCUUCCGCAAGCACUUUUGAGCUUGUAAAAGUGGUGGACUGCCAACGUGUGGUGCUUUCUCAGACCCGCUUCCUUUCUCUUUCACUGCUCCUCGGAGCAGGGCAGAGCUUUGCUGAGGGCUGGGUUGCCCAUGUGCACUUAUGGCCUGCCUCUGGCUAGGACGGGAAAGAACGGUCAGUGCCAGCCCCCCAGGUGCAGAAUGGAAAAAGAAAUGUUACCCAAGGACAGGUAAAAAUGCUUACUAUUACAAUCCUGAUAUUUUUCAAUUAUUUUCAGGAAAUAACCUUCAUUUUUAAGUUCCCAACAGAAAGGUAUACAUGUGUAUACGAUAAAAGUUCACUUUUUCUGGGAAAGAUGAAGGGCUGAGUCAGUUCUCCUGGAUUUGAACCUGUGGAUCGAGACAGGUCAGGAAUUUCAAACCUCAAGUGUGAUGCUAAGCAAGAAUUACAACACUGCGCCAUUCAGAAGCAGGUAGAAGGGGCCCAAAGAGCUCUCCUACGCUGGAACCCUGCAAUUCCCUGGAAGCUGUCAGUAGUGAAAGUACUUUCAAGU